This 236-nucleotide long non-coding RNA is filed under the name Mytilus galloprovincialis (Mediterranean mussel). Lineage: Eukaryota; Metazoa; Mollusca; Bivalvia; Mytilida; Mytilidae. The record is from RNAcentral.
GUUGCUUUCAAUUAAAAGAAACAUAAUCAAUGAAUAAUUUUUAUAUUGUUAAUAUAGAGUUUUGUAAACAAAAUGUAUGUCAAUUAUUUAAUCAGCUGAUCAUUCCCUGGGUAGUCAGUGGAUUGUAACAGGGUACGUCAAGAGAAGCUUGGAAUCUUGAUGGUUUAUGUAACAAGCAAUAUUUGAUGAAUAAAAUUAUUAUGUAGUUAAAAAAAAAAAAAAAAAAAAAAAAAAAA